Molecule: long non-coding RNA, 1562 nt
Organism: Lathyrus oleraceus (garden pea)
Lineage: Eukaryota; Viridiplantae; Streptophyta; Magnoliopsida; Fabales; Fabaceae
Exons: 2
Source: RefSeq, a predicted model, not a curated record
CGCAGAGGCCCAUCCCUAGGCCUGAUGGCCUUUGCACUGCAGCAUGGGUGUUGAAUAACAAUUUGUGUGGGCCUCCAGAAUAAUCUUCAUACCCUGGUCCAAGCCAACGCCAUCAAACACGUCGUAACACACGUUCAUCAGCUCAUAUGGACAAGCUUCGAUUCCUUCCCAACUUCAUCUUCUUGCUUCGAAAAUUCACAUGAAGAAAAUCAUGAGCCAGUAAAACGAGAUCCACGUAUCUUUGAUUCCAGAUUUUUACCUCCAUUUCGGAAAUCAAACUGAAACUAUGAAAAAUCUUGAAUCUGGAAUAAUCAUCGUCAUCCAAGUCUUUCAAAUUAACGUCUUCGCCAAAUGGAACUGUGAAAUCUGUGCGCGAGGUUGAACGACUUCAAGAGGUUCAAAUUGAUAGGAUGAGAAAGAGAAUGAGACUUACCUAGUUGAUUCGAUGCGGUGGUUCUCUGGCGAAAAAAGGGUGUUUUUUCCACUUGAGGGUUCUCAACAGUCAAAUUUUCAGCUUCCACAUUACCUUGCUUGAUUUCCUCGGCAUCAUCAGUCUUUGCGUUACCAAUGAUUAUGUUAUCAGCAUCAACUGGAUCAGCUUUCGGUUCUUCCGCAGAAGACAGUUCCUUUUCAGAUUCAACUAUUGCCUCCUCAACCACGGCAUUUGAAGCUUCUUGAACAAGUUCACCUUCUGUAUUACUAGGCUUAAUUUCGUCUGCAUCAUUACUUUUUGUUUUAUUAUUGACAUUGUCAUCAGUGUCCAUUGGAUCAGCUUUAGGUUCUUCAUCUAUAAAGCUGUAACAGAUUUGUCAUUUCGGAAAUAGUUCUCUGAUGUUGAAUACGGAAAUUUGGAGCAGCUUCCUUGAGUUUCUGAGCAACAACCAUGGUGAUUGGUAGUUAAAGUUGAUUAGUCCACUGCUUGAAACUGGUUAAGUAAUUGUUAGCUAUUAUUAGGUUUUUGUGUGUUUGAAUUAUGCUGCAGAAUUUUUGUAUGGUUUAGUGUGGCUGCAGUUGUAUAACUGUUAGGCAGGUUUUGUGAUGUUGAUGUUGUUCUUCAAUGUUGGAUAAUCAUUGUGUACUACUGCUCGAUUUCGUGACUGUAUGCAUUUGAAUUAUCUUACGUAAUGUUGAAUGGUUUAAUGCUUUUGGUCAUGAAAUGUGCGUACACAAUGUUGUAUGUUUUCCAUGGUUAUGAUGAUAUUGUUGGUCAUGAUGUUGUAGGUUGGCUGCCAUGGUUAUGGAUAUUUGCACCAAAGCUCUAAACAAAAUCAUCAUGACAAAGAUGCAAGGACAAGCUUGGGAGGGGAAGUUAGCUUGGAAGAAAAAUGAUGAAGCAAGAAGAAUGAAGGAUGACAUUAUGAAGUUUAGGACUCUUAAAAAAAUGUUGACUUUGGUCAAAGUUGACCAAAAAGUCAACUAUUGACCAAAGUCAUCCUUUGGUCAAAGUCAUUAUUUUUUGUAUUUCUUUUCAAAUGAUGUAAAUCUGACCAUGUAUGAAUGAAUAUUUGUAUGAUUAUGUCUUUUGAAUGUAAUGAAAUAAUAUCUUAUUUUGCCCACUAAAA